Molecule: ribosomal RNA, 475 nt
Filed under: uncultured bacterium
Lineage: Bacteria
Description: SSU rRNA
Rfam family: Bacterial small subunit ribosomal RNA
Source: RNAcentral
AGGACGAACGCUGGCGGCGCGCCUAACACAUGCAAGUCGAGCGAUAACCAGGGGCUUGCCCUUGGGGACAGCGGCGAACGGGUGCGUAACACGUGAGCAACCUGCCCCGAAGACCGGGACAACCCGAGGAAACUCGGACUAAUACCGGAUGUCCUCACCGGAUCGCAUGGUCUGGUGAGGAAAUGGAUUCCGCUUCGGGAUGGGCUCGCGGUCUAUCAGCUUGUUGGUGGGGUAACGGCCUACCAAGGCGACGACGGAUAGCUGGUCUGAGAGGACGAUCAGCCACACUGGGACUGAGACACGGCCCAGACUCCUACGGGAGGCAGCAGUGGGGAAUCUUGCGCAAUGGGGGAAACCCUGACGCAGCAACGCCGCGUGGAGGAUGAAGCCCCUUGGGGUGUAAACUCCUUUCGACCAAGACGAUAAUGACGGUACUGGUGGAAGAAGCACCGGCUAACUCUGUGCCAGCAGCCGC